CGCGGGCCCCAUGCCUCGGGCAUGCAGGUUUCACGAGCCCUUCAGGGUUAGUGGCGCACGGGUGCGUAACUUGGGAAUCUGCCCUUUGCUUCGGAAUAACUCAGGGAAACUUGUUCUAAUACCGGAUGAUGUCGAAAGACCAAAGAUUUAUCGGCAAGGGAUGAGCCCGCGUAGGAUUAGGUAGUUGGUGGGGUAAAGGCCUACCAAGCCGACGAUCCUUAGCUGGUCUGAGAGGAUGAUCAGCCACACUGGGACUGAGACGCGGCCCAGACUCCUACGGGAGGCAGCAGUGGGGAAUAUUGGACAAUGGGCGAAAGCCUGAUCCAGCAAUGCCGCGUGAGUGAUGAAGGCCUUAGGGUCGUAAAACUCUUUUACCAGGGAUGAUAAUGACAGUACCUGGAGAAUAAGCUCCGGCUAACUCCGUGCCAGCAGCCGCGGUAAUACGGAGGGAGCUAGCGUUGUUCGGAAUUACUGGGCGUAAAGCGUACGUAGGCGGUUAUUCAAGUCAGAGGUGAAAGCCCGGGGCUCAACCCCGGAACGGCCUUUGAAACUAGGUAGCUAGAAUCUUGGAGAGGUCAGUGGAAUUCCGAGUGUAGAGGUGAAAUUCGUAGAUAUUCGGAAGAACACCAGUGGCGAAGGCGACUGACUGGACAAGUAUUGACGCUGAGGUACGAAAGCGUGGGGAGCAAACAGGAUUAGAUACCCUGGUAGUCCACGCCGUAAACGAUGAUAACUAGCUGUCCGGGCACUUGGUGCCUGGGUGGCGCAGCUAACGCAUUAAGUUAUCCGCCUGGGGAGUACGGUC
Molecule: ribosomal RNA, 805 nt
Filed under: uncultured bacterium
Lineage: Bacteria
Description: bacterial SSU rRNA
Rfam family: Bacterial small subunit ribosomal RNA
Source: RNAcentral